RNAcentral lists this ribosomal RNA (245 nucleotides) under uncultured bacterium. RNAcentral's name for it is "partial 16S ribosomal RNA". It matches the Rfam family "Bacterial small subunit ribosomal RNA", at positions 524 to 768 of the family's 1533-position model. The record is from RNAcentral.
UACGUAUGAGGCAAGCGUUGUUCGGAAUUAUUGGGCGUAAAGGGCAUCUAGGCGGGAUGUUAAGUCAGAUGUGAAAGACCACGGCUCAACCGUGGGACUGCAUUUGAUACUGACAUUCUUGAGUUCGAUAGAGGAAGGCGGAAUACCCGGUGUAGCGGUGAAAUGCGUAGAUAUCGGGUAGAACACCGGUGGCGAAGGCGGCCUUCUGGAUCUGGACUGACGCUGACAUGCGAAAGUGUGGGGAU